UGUAAAGAAUUGGCGAUAAUGAUGAACUGCUUAGCUGUGAAGGGGUGGUUACAAACCAAGUGAGGAAAUGUUUGCAUAAAUCCUAUGUAGGCAGAUUCUCACCUAGAAAAAGCCAGCGUUUCUGCCAAAAUAUUCAGAAUCCCUCUGGCAUCCACCACAAGACAAUUGUCAGACUUGAUUGGUCCAGCAGGGAAAGGCUUUUGCUUUAAUUUCUGUGUGUUUGGUGCCAGCAUAUUUCCCUGACAGUGAUGUGAGAGGUGACCGGAUGAGUUCAUUGACCGUGCAGAUGCCUACGCAGGGAAUCUUUUUCCUUCUUCUUCGGCAGAGAAGUAGUAUGGGCCUGGAAGCAAGGAGGAUGUAGCUUUCCGUUUAUGGGUGCUGCUUUACAUGCCAGUGCCAGAGUCUCUCAUCUCCAGGAAGCAAACAGAGUACUGCUCUGAAUAAAUAUUUCAUUUAUUCAGAAGACUUCCUGAAGAAAAACAGAUUUUCAUGAUGGAAGGCCACUAGAAGAAAAUCCAGUGAAGAACAUGACUUUUACUAAACGACACUUCUGGACAUUUCCAGAUACUGGGUUUGGGUUCCCUGUGAGCAUAACUGAAGCCUUUAAUGUCAGCUUCCUCCAAUUUACUCUGGGUUUUGAGCUGCUGCACUGACUCCUGAAGAGCUGGUCUUUGUGCCUCCAUUCUAUUUUAACUCAACUGAUGAAACUUAGCCAACUCUGCUGUGUAACCCGGCCCCAGACUAAAUAUUUCAUCUCCCAGUGCUUCAAAAUUUCCUGAUUUGAAUUCCCAUGGACUGACUCUCCCUUCAGCAUAAGAACAGGACAACUUGGACAAUAUAUCUAAGUAUUUUGAAGCUGCUGGGAUUGCUGAUACUAGCUUUCUUUCCCCCAAGCUCAGCUUUACCUCCCCGUCUUGCCAUCACUUCAGCAAUCUUCUUUCCUUUGGACAUCUUGCAGAGCAAGCAUCCUAUCUGUGGUGACAUGGCACAACCAUUCUUGUCCCUGGGUGAAAUCCUGGCAUUUCUGAAAUCAAGGAAACAUCCCCUUUGACUUCAGCAUCAUCAGGAUUUCCACCACGUACGUGUUCCAGUGCUGUAUUCUUUCAGGUAUUGGACAAAUAUCUCUUAACAACUACUCUUCACACGAACUCCACUUACAAGGCCAGAUUUCCAUAUGCAGACUUCCUUGUUAUGUAAAACCUGAGCUGACUGACUAAAGCCGAGCAUAUAAAUGCCAUCCUGAAUAUUUAUUUCUAGGCCUUUUUUUUUUUUUUGUUUACUUCUGUGUUUCAUUAUAAUGAGAUACAUGGGUUUGUGUAUUGGGAAUUAUAAUUACUUGUGUCCAUAGAGCAGCUCAACGGAGAGUAUAAUUAUUGCUCAAAUAUUGGCUUAAGGCAAGAAUUAGACUAGAAAGUCUGACAUGGUCAUGACUCUUACAUUUUAAUUUGUUCACCUCCUGGUAGCACCUAACAAGAUCACCUAUGCCUGUCCUAAUAUCUCAAUACACAGAGAUUAAACUUCUUCUCCUAUACCCCUUUUUGUGAGGAAGAUAGUCAUACCCGAGAAAGAAGUUCACCUUCCUCACAAACGCACAGAGCUGUCUGAAUUGCCACCUGGUGCAGUACGGGGAUGGCACACAGGGCAGCAGAAAUGUCUCAGGCCACAAAGACAUGACAGACAGUGCUGGGUGGACAGGGAUGGAGGGCAUUCUCAUUUUGGGGAGAAUUCCAGCAAUGUUUUGGGACAAGCUAUGUAUCUGCCACAGCUGGGGAGAUCUAUUCAGGCUGGAGGUGACAUAUCCAUUGCUCAUGAGCUACACGUAGAUUAAGGAUCAGUUGGAUGUGGCCGCUGAGGACUUCUUCAAGACAGGGGCUACAGCAGGGAUGGCCAGAGAGCCUGCACCACAUGCCCUCUGUAGGCACUGUGCAUGCCCAUCUAUUCCCAGAUGCAGCUUGGUCCAGAAUUCAAAAGCACUUUUAGCACAGGAAGACACUGGACUGCCCCUUACUCACCUGUGGAAGAGGAGCAGAGAAAGGCUGCUGCCCAGCACAGGUACCUGCUCCUUUGCUAAUACAACUGUGCACCACUGACACUUCUGGUUUCUUGUAUUUUCUGUCUGUUGCACAGUUUAAUUUCCUGAGAACUCUCAUGCUUCAGUACCACAAAAGUCUCCAGGCUUUAACACAGCAUACCUGGUAAGGUGUUAUGGUUUGUGCUAUAUGUUGGACUAAACCAAAAAAAUCAAGCCCUAUCAAGCAAUAAAAACCUAAAACAUCUCUUCUUUGCCUAUUAUCACUGAAUUCUGGGCCUCCAAGUCACUGAAAAAUAUGUGGUACUCAGGCUUUCCUGGGCUGGAUUACUCUGAGUUUGCAUGAAGAUUUUCCUCCACAGCAGAGGCAUGGCCAUCUCCUCAGAGAUACAUUGCAGGGCAUGUAUGCAGAAGCUUGUUCGGGGAACUACAGACCUAGCUACAAUGCUAGAGUUGGCCAAAAUUUCUCCAUAAGGCCUUGGUAAAGUACAUGAGCCUACACAGAGACGCCCAUCCCGCUCUCCAUGCUACAACUGGGUGAAUAGAGGAGCUGCUUACAAAACAAUAAUAAUUUUCCAGAAAUUUAUCUCCGUUACAGAAAUGCUGGAAGUGGUUAAGAGGUGACUGAGUGAACCAGUUGUAAACAUCAUUCGUUCUGUUUUAAAUGUCUCUUAGUAAUAAAUGUUCACAAACAAGCACAAAUUAAGUUCAUUCUGCAUAUUUUAAAUUCAUUGUACCUGUUUUAUUUAUGUCUUAUGUCUCACUAUAUGAUUUUAAGUGGUUUUAUAAAAUUGCUUUAAAAGAGAUGAUUCUGUAGAAUUUGUAUACACUUGAUAUAUAUCUUUGCAAUGAUUUGGUUUUGUGCAUCCUUUCAUUUACAGAAUAAAGACUGCUUA
Molecule: long non-coding RNA, 2925 nt
Organism: Falco peregrinus (peregrine falcon)
Lineage: Eukaryota; Metazoa; Chordata; Aves; Falconiformes; Falconidae
Exons: 7
Source: RefSeq, a predicted model, not a curated record